UCGAGAAUCAUUCACAAUGGGGGAAACCCUGAUGGUGCGACGCCGCGUGGGGGAAUGAAGGUCUUCGGAUUGUAAACCCCUGUCAUGUGGGAGCAAAUUAAAAAGAUAGUACCACAAGAGGAAGAGACGGCUAACUCUGUGCCAGCAGCCGCGGUAAUACAGAGGUCUCAAGCGUUGUUCGGAAUCACUGGGCGUAAAGCGUGCGUAGGCUGUUUCGUAAGUCGUGUGUGAAAGGCGCGGGCUCAACCCGCGGACGGCACAUGAUACUGCGAGACUAGAGUAA
RNAcentral lists this ribosomal RNA (283 nucleotides) under uncultured Akkermansia sp. RNAcentral's name for it is "partial 16S ribosomal RNA". It matches the Rfam family "Bacterial small subunit ribosomal RNA", at positions 355 to 649 of the family's 1533-position model. The record is from RNAcentral. Lineage: Bacteria; Pseudomonadati; Verrucomicrobiota; Verrucomicrobiia; Verrucomicrobiales; Akkermansiaceae.